This is a long non-coding RNA of Oncorhynchus keta (chum salmon), 1137 nucleotides long. RefSeq lists it as uncharacterized. Lineage: Eukaryota; Metazoa; Chordata; Actinopteri; Salmoniformes; Salmonidae. The record is from RefSeq and is a predicted model, not a curated record. The transcript has 3 exons.
AGUCCUCUCCUUCUUCCACCUACGACGAUCGUUACAGUAUGUAAACUUCCGACUUCAACUGUAUAUAUAUAUAUAUAUAUAUGAAACUGGGAUAGAAGGAUGAGAUUCAUGGUCCUCUUACUCACUUUUCUAAUGUACAUCAACAGUAUUAAUAGUAUUGAUCCAUAUGGACAUACUAACUGAAGUUGUUUUCUUGCUCGUGCGUGUUUCAGUAGCACAGAACAGGAUGUAGACCAAUCAUACUGUGUUUGAAGGAUUACAAAGACCUCAUAGCAAUUAUGGACCCUGCCAUAACAUUAUUUUGGACAGCUUAAGUGGGUGAGAUCUGGUUUUAAUAACAUAAUUUCUAUAGUGUGUAAUGGCUAGGUUGUUAGAAUCUUCUCCAUUUCUCUUGUUCAAGCAGCCUUUGCAAAAUACCCCGAGUGCACUUUAAUCUAUGGCAAAUUAUCAAGAUAAAUGUCACAUUUACAUCACUUUGUCAAAAGUGAAUAAUUGUAAUAGUCAAUUCCCAGAAGUCUAAUGAAAUUUGGCUUAACACCGAAAACCCUCACAAAUUUUACAGAUGAACAAUUGAAGCACUCUGUCGGGCUGUAUCACUGCCUGGUACGGCAAAUGCACCGCCCACAACCGCAAAGCUCGCCAGAGAGUGGUGCGGUCUGCCCAACGCUUUACCGGGGGCAAACUUCCCACCCUCCUGGACACCUACAGCACUCGAUGCCAUAGGAAGGCCAAAAAUAUCAUCAAGAACAUCAACCACCCGAGCCCCUGCCUGUUCAUCCCGCUAUCAUCCAGAAGGCGAUGUCAGUACAGAGAGGAUCCCACUGCCAAUGCUGACACCCAUGCUGAUGUCUCUGCUGCAGCAGCCCGUGGAUAACCUGUUAUGACACGGUGUAGCGCCCUCUGGUCCCUCAGGAUGGGGUAGAGAAUGCCCCCAAAUCACCCCAUGUUUUGGAGGGGAAAUACUAACUGACACCAGCUCAUAAGAAUGCCCACUGGAGGGAUGUGAAAGAUGCUGCCUGGGAUCUGUGACCUUUGCCCUUUCCCAGCGUGACUGAUUUCCUCUGGUGUUCAGAGUGGACUGGGGUUUUCUAGCAUCAUUUGAAAUCAAUGGUGUUGAAAGAGAUGGCACCUCGUCAG